RNAcentral lists this long non-coding RNA (272 nucleotides) under Zonotrichia albicollis (white-throated sparrow). Its description in RNAcentral is "lncRNA (ENSZALG00000016247.1)". The record is from RNAcentral. Lineage: Eukaryota; Metazoa; Chordata; Aves; Passeriformes; Passerellidae.
AUGUGUAAAUCUCCAUGCUGGCUAAUGCUUAUGAAAUUUUACAGACAUACUCAGAGGUUUCAACAGAAGGAUAGACUCCACUUUUCUCUCGAGCAGCAGCAAGGUCUCACUUCAGACCCUGAAUCUCUUCAAUGUAUUCCUGUAUAAAGAAAACCACAGGAGGACAUGCAGGGCUGGCUGCGGGCACUGGCACCAGCGCUCAGGAGCACACCGAGCUGGCCCGGUGGCAGCAGGGCCUCCUCACCACCUCCUCCCCCGGCGUGACCCCGAUG